CAGUCGCCGCGGUAAUACGAAGGGGGCUAGCGUUGUUCGGAUUUACUGGGCGUAAAGGGCGCGUAGGCGGGCGAAUAAGUCAGGGGUGAAAUCCCAAGGCUCAACCUUGGAACUGCCUUUGAUACUGUUUGUCUUGAGUUCGAGAGAGGUAAGUGGAACUGCGAGUGUAGAGGUGAAAUUCGUAGAUAUUCGCAAGAACACCAGUGGCGAAGGCGGCUUACUGGCUCGAAACUGACGCUGAGGCGCGAAAGCGUGGGGAGCAAACAGGAUUAGAUACCCGCGUAGUCCCUGUCUCUUAUAC
RNAcentral lists this ribosomal RNA (301 nucleotides) under uncultured bacterium. RNAcentral's name for it is "partial 16S ribosomal RNA". It matches the Rfam family "Bacterial small subunit ribosomal RNA", at positions 509 to 807 of the family's 1533-position model. The record is from RNAcentral.